UGUACCUGAGCUUAAACGGAGCCCCUACAUUUCGCGUGCCGUUAUUCUGUUCUUAUCAAGUGAGAAACAGUCUGUGCUGAGGACCCAGUCUCGUGCCCAGGUGGAGGCUUUCCCCCCGAUUGGAGUGUCGUGUCCUGGUGAAGGGAUUCAUGUGUGAGUGUACAAUAUCACGCGUGUGGGGUAAAUUAUAUAUAUUUUUUGUUUUUGGGGCCUCCACCUUACGCAGCUAAACGUGCCUCAGCUAACUGACCUUUUCCCCAUUUAAUUGUGUUUUUAGAAUUUUUAUUGUAAUAAAAAUUUGAUUUUAACUCUGAGCCACGCCUCCUGCCUUUGUGUGCAAUCGACCUAUUGGACGGUACUCGUACCUUUUCACCAUACCACAAUAGUGUACUAAAUAAAGCUACAGAGCUGUGGCUGCUAAACUGUUGGACAAGGAAAAAGGUUGAAGGAAUUAAACAAGCUCCCUCCUGAGUUAAACCUACUUAGAAAGCAAAAUUAACUUCUAAACUAUCACCCCAGCUUCCAACUGCUUAUUCCUACAUCAGCUGCAUUUCUUUUCUAGCAUUAAAAAUACCUUUGUUCUAACAUCCUUUCUUGAACAUAGCAUUCAAACUACAGGACAUCCAAAGAUUAUUUCCAUCUAAUUACUCUGAUAUACUAUCUCUCAUUUUAUUGAUAGAGUCGCUAUCAAACCUGAAAAGCCAUAAAUAAAUGCAGAGAAAAAAGAUGCUCGAAUUCUCCAGAGCUCUGGGAUGUUAUGUUUGUUGUCUGGUAACAGCUGAGCUGAUGACAUCACACACACUGUCUGCAGCAGCUGAAGACUUCAUAUAACCAAUCAGCUGCUGCUGACAAAGUAACACAUACAAGCUCUGAAAACCCACACCCUAGAGCUAAAGAUGUACAGUCAGGGGAUUUUUGAAGGAGUGUUAAUCUGGAUCAGUCUCAUUCAGGGUAAAACCUUACUCAAACAACAAAGGAAGU
Oryzias melastigma (Indian medaka) is the source of this 981-nucleotide long non-coding RNA. RefSeq lists it as uncharacterized. NCBI's taxonomy places the organism in Eukaryota, Metazoa, Chordata, Actinopteri, Beloniformes, Adrianichthyidae. The transcript is spliced from 2 exons. The record is from RefSeq and is a predicted model, not a curated record.